GAUGAAGAACGUAGCGAAAUGCGAUAAGUAAUGUGAAUUGCAGAAUUCAGUGAAUCAUCGAAUCUUUGAACGCACAUUGCGCCCCCUGGUAUUCCGGGGGGCAUGCCUGUCCGAGCGUCAUUGCUGCCCUCAAGCACGGCUUGUGUGUUGGGCCCCCGCCCCCCGGCUCCCGGGGGGCGGGCCCGAAAGGCAGUGGCGGCACCGCGUCCGGUCCUCGAGCGUAUGGGGCUUUGUCACUCGCUCGUGUAGGUCCGGCCGGCGCCAGCCGACACCCAUCAAUCUUACCCAGGUUGACCUCGGAUCAGGUAGGGAUACCCGCUGAACUUAAGCAUAUCAAUAAGCGGAGGA
This 348-nucleotide unclassified non-coding RNA is filed under the name soil metagenome. RNAcentral's name for it is "partial contains 5.8S ribosomal RNA, internal transcribed spacer 2, and large subunit ribosomal RNA". The stretch from base 1 to 120 matches the Rfam family "5.8S ribosomal RNA", at positions 35 to 154 of the family's 154-position model. The record is from RNAcentral.